AGGACUUGUCAAUAUAGAUCCGAAUCCUAUAUUCGUUUUCAUAGUGUCUUCCGAAGAUGUAGUCGAUGUUUCACCUGUCGAACUUACGGGUGACGACUUCGGUUUUUUUUUAUUGUACGUUCGUUUAGUUGCGUUCUGUUGUGUAAUAUAAAAAAAAAAUAAUGAAUAACUGGCCUACUAUCAUAUUAUGUAAGGAAAGGUCAUGAGAGUCACAACAAGUACGAUUUUUAAAUAUUAACGAGAUAAGUAGUAACAGUUACAUAACAUGAAUAGUAUUAACUCUACAACACUGUCGAUGGAACAAAUACAGUGAUUUUCUUCUUUUCCUCUCAACAAGACCUCUAAACAAUACCCUUUGUUGGAUAAAAUAUUUUAAAAUUAUUUUUAUUAUCACGAUGUCGUUCGAGUUUUUAUUCAUGUUACUGUGAAACUGCAAUGAAGGAAAAUGAUACUACAUGCAUGGUGAAAACACAUAACAAAACAAAAGAAAGAGUAAUGUUUAUGCAACAAAAGGAAGUGUAAAGCCUUAAUAUGCCUACCAAUUUUUUCUUGGAGCCCUUCUCCAUGUUGUUAUCCAGAUAAUCAUCCUACGCGACACAGGUGAACCUAUGUUAUUUACAUGAGCACUAAUUUAUAUGCACAUUAUUUGGAGAACAUUCAGGUAAAGUUUACGUACCGACUGUUUAGCUCGUUUCGCUGCAGCGGCCUCCAAACCUUUCUCGACGGACGUUUUCUUCACUCCCUCUCGGGCUGGUCGAUUUGUUUUUGGCAAUAAGGGCCCUACUCGUGCUUUUGGAUUCCACGCUUCAUCUAUUUGACUCUUUGACUUAGACUUGAAGAUAUAAUCCUCAUCGUCCGAAGCGUCCAGAGCUGGAUAAACUACACGAAAAAUAGCAUAAUAAUAAUUAAUAGGUCACGUACAAGUAAAUUAUCUGCUGGAAUUAUACUCGUGCAAAGGAACAAUCUCUUCAUGUUUUUACGUACUGAAAUCAUCAUCUUGAUGAACUUUAUCGAUGUUUUCUAUCGACUGAUCGUCAUCGUCAUCAUCGUCUUGUGGUUUCGUUUUAGCGUUUUUCGCAGAUUUGGAAGUACUGUUCGAUGUAGUCGAGUAACAUUGCUCACUGAACGACAGCAUUCCUGCGAUAGCCUCCCGCGUCGAUGGUGAUGCCCUGCCAGAACUGGUCGUUUUCAAUUUAUAAAUACUAAGAACACCAAAAACGUAAAGGACAACAGCGCUAUG
Nomia melanderi (Alkali bee) is the source of this 1240-nucleotide long non-coding RNA. RefSeq lists it as uncharacterized. Lineage: Eukaryota; Metazoa; Arthropoda; Insecta; Hymenoptera; Halictidae. The record is from RefSeq and is a predicted model, not a curated record.